AGUCUAACAUGUGCGCGAGUCGUCGGGCUCGCUACUAAACCCGAAGGCGAAGCGAAAGUGAACGUAGGGAGGAGGGCGGCGGAGAGAUCCGCGGCGCCCGCACUCCCGGGGCGUCUCACCGGACCUCAUUCGGUCCGAGGGACGCACCUUGAGCGUACACGUUGGGACCCGAAAGAUGGUGAACUAUGCCUGGCCAGGACGAAGUCAGGGGAAACCCUGAUGGAGGUCCGCAGCGAUUCUGACGUGCAAAUCGAUCGUCAGAGCUGGGUAUAGGGGCGAAAGACCAAUCGAACCGUCUAGUAGCUGGUUCCCUCCGAAGUUUCCCUCAGGAUAGCUGGCGCUCGGAGGAAGCAGUCUCAUACGGUAAAGCGAAUGAUUAGAGGCAUUGGGGCCGAAACGACCUCACCCUAUUCUCAAACUUUAAAUGGGUGAGAUCUCCGGCUUGCUCAGAGGUGAAGCCGGAGUACGAGCAGGAUGAGAGUGCCAAGUGGGCCAUUUUUGGUAAGCAGAACUGGCGCUGUGGGAUGAACCAAACGCCGAGUUAAGGCGCCCGAAGCGACGCUCAUCGGAAACCAUGAAAGGUGUUGGUUGCUUAAGACAGCAGGACGGUGGCCAUGGAAGUCGGAAUCCGCUAAGGAGUGUGUAACAACUCACCUGCCGAAGCAACUAGCCCUGAAAAUGGAUGGCGCUGAAGCGUCGUGCCUAUACUCGGCCGUCGGCGGCAAGGGGGGGCGCUAGCGCGCCUCCGGCCAAGCCCCGACGAGUAGGAGGGUCGCGGCGGCGAGCUCAGAAGGGUCCGGGCGCGAGCCUGCCUGGAGCCGCCGCCGGCGCAGAUCUUGGUGGUAGUAGCAAAUACUCCAGCGAGGACCUGGAGGACUGACGCGGAGAAGGGUUUCGUGUGAACAGCCGUUGCACACGAGUCAGUCGAUCCUAAGCCCUAGGGGAAACCCUACGCGGAUGGUCCGGCGCAAGGUAGCGGCUAUAGCUACGCCGGCCGUCGGGCGAAAGGGAAUCCGGUUCCUAUUCCGGAACCCGGCAGCGGAACCGUUCCAGUUCGGGCCCUCGCGAGAGAGCUCGUCGGGGUAACCCAACAGGACCCGGAGACGCCGUCGGGAGAUCGGGGAAGAGUUUUCUUUUCUGCGUGAGCGUUCGAGUUCCCUGGAAUCCUCUAGCAGGGAGAUAGGGUUCGGAACGCGAAGAGCACCGCAGUUGCGGCGGUGUCCCGAUCUUCCCCUCGGACCUUGAAAAUCCGGGAGAGGGCCACGUGGAGCUUUCGCGCCGGCUCGUACCCAUAUCCGCAGCAGGUCUCCAA
Molecule: ribosomal RNA, 1312 nt
Filed under: Odontembia jacobi
Lineage: Eukaryota; Metazoa; Arthropoda; Insecta; Embioptera; Embiidae
Description: eukaryotic LSU rRNA
Rfam family: Eukaryotic large subunit ribosomal RNA
Source: RNAcentral